UGUGAAGGAAUGGCUUGAAUUUGCUUUCUCCACUGGUUCGCAGAAUGUUGCCAACGCUGGAUCGUCAAUGGAGGAUACAUGAAUUGGUAUAGCAGAGUUUGGCCAUACUAAUUUCUUGUUCACAUGAAUCAGUGGUUGCAUCCAAGCUUCACCACUACCCUUUUGGGCAUAAAUUACACAACCUUUGUCCCAAGACUCUGAUGUUGUAGUUGAUAAUUUGGAUAUGAUAGAAUGGUAGCGAGGACUGUAACACAGCCAUUCUUUCCUCAUUGGAUAAUUUGGACAUCCCAGAACCCCCAGCACCACUUCUCCAUCUUCGAUCAGUGCUAGAGCUACAGCAUAUUGAUCCCCACGUAUAAACCCCAACGUCCCAUCCACAGGGUCCAGGGUCCAAAAUCUUCCAGUUGGACCGCCAGAUGAGUUGCAUCGGCUGAUGGCUUCAAGAACCUCGGAAGUACAGAGGGUGCUUUCUGGACCUUCCAAUCCAAAACGAUAUGCUUCACAAAGACACUCAUUUACAGUUUCCACUACAGCUUUCAAGAGUCGGUCUGCACCAGGCUUGGAAAGAGUCUGAACAUCCUCCUCGGCAACAAUUGACACAUUUUUACUCCCAAAAGAUUUGGACAGAAUCCAGCUGAUAAUUGCCUGAACGCUCCAAUCCGCAACAGUAACAGGGGAAUUGUCAUCCUUGGCUUGAAUUUGGGCAUUGCUAGUAAGCAAGUUGCUCUGAACUCUCUGACAAAGAAAGCAAGCCAUCUGAACAGCUCCAACGGCGACUUUGAGUUCUUGGGAAAGUGAUUUCGGCCCAG
RNAcentral lists this unclassified non-coding RNA (809 nucleotides) under Hevea brasiliensis (rubber tree). Lineage: Eukaryota; Viridiplantae; Streptophyta; Magnoliopsida; Malpighiales; Euphorbiaceae. The record is from RNAcentral.